UACGAGAUUAUUUGAAUGAUAUUUGUUCACAAUAUGCUAUUCUUUACAACGGUGUAGGUGGCGGCAAGUUAGUCAUUUCAAUUUUCCUGCUUCGUCUUCGUGUUGCCUGAGAAGGGUCCAGUUGCCUCGGGUCAGACGAGCGCAAGGUUUUUUUUUUUUUUUUUUCUCGACAGUGCAUUGCUCUGGCAGGUGAUUCCAAGCUGGUCAGUUCAACUUCUCCUACUUCUUCGAGCUGUCUUAAGUCAUUCAGUGGCAGUUUUUCCAGACAGUGUUAUGACUUACAGUAGGGUGAUGCAGUGCAAGAUAUGCAGAUUUGAACACCCUGCCCAGGAGGUCCUUUUGA
Cyprinus carpio (common carp) is the source of this 343-nucleotide long non-coding RNA. RefSeq lists it as uncharacterized. The transcript has 3 exons. NCBI's taxonomy places the organism in Eukaryota, Metazoa, Chordata, Actinopteri, Cypriniformes, Cyprinidae. The record is from RefSeq and is a predicted model, not a curated record.